ACCUCCAGCAUCUCUAGUAUUGGAGGCACUGCCUGCCCAGUGACAAACGUUAAACGGCCGCGGUAUCCUGACCGUGCAAAGGUAGCAUAAUCAUUUGUUCUCUAAAUAAGGACUUGUAUGAAUGGCCACACGAGGGUUUUACUGUCUCUUACUUCCAAUCAGUGAAAUUGACCUUCCCGUGAAGAGGCGGGAAUAAGCAAAUAAGACGAGAAGACCCUAUGGAGCUUUAACUAAUUAGCCCAAAGAAAAUAAAUCUAACCACCAAGGGACAACAACACCCUCCAUGGGCUAACAGCUUUGGUUGGGGUGACCUCGGAGAAUAAAAGAUCCUCCGAGCGAUUUUAAAGACUAGACACACAAGUCAAAUCAAACUAUCGCUUAUUGAUCCAAAAACUUGAUCAACGGAACAAGUUACCCUAGGGAUAACAGCGCAAUCCUAUUCAAGAGUCCAUAUCGACAAUAGGGUUUACGACCUCGAUGUUGGAUCAGGACACCCCGAUGGUGCAACCGCUAUCAAA
This 518-nucleotide ribosomal RNA is filed under the name Cephalophorus ogilbyi (Ogilby's duiker). RNAcentral describes it as "Cephalophus ogilbyi (Ogilby's duiker) partial 16S ribosomal RNA". It matches the Rfam family "Bacterial large subunit ribosomal RNA", at positions 1818 to 2569 of the family's 2925-position model. The record is from RNAcentral. Lineage: Eukaryota; Metazoa; Chordata; Mammalia; Artiodactyla; Bovidae.